This 570-nucleotide long non-coding RNA is filed under the name Rattus norvegicus (Norway rat). RNAcentral describes it as "long non-coding RNA NONRATT009346". Lineage: Eukaryota; Metazoa; Chordata; Mammalia; Rodentia; Muridae. The record is from RNAcentral.
CCUCCUGCCUCAACCUCCCCAGAGCACAGAUUCCACCACACCCUAUCUCUGGUUGCUUUUUAAAAACUGGAUGAAUCAAUUUCCACUUCACCAGGACACACACUUCACUCUUCUUCCACAACUCGAACAGCACAGAGCUGACAAGUUUUUUGUCAAAUUGAUGUCCGUCUUUCCUUUGUCUUGUGAUGAAGCUAGAGUGAAUAUCUGGUCAGAGAUGGCUGCCGUUUCCUUCUCUGUGCGUUGUGAGUUUGGGCUUCUUGCCUGGCGCUCUGUUGUCAUGCUGACCUUGUCCUUUUGUGUCCAUGGAUCUUCUUGUUUGGUAGGAAUUAGUUCCGUCAUAUAAAUUCGAUUUCCCCUCAACUUGCCCUGUGACCUUUGAUUUCCCUUCAGUGGAGUUUGCUCUGCAGAAAUAAUUGUUGUUACACAGUCAGCUCUGUUAGUGUCUGUGUGUUCUGUUUUGGGACUUAGACAGGACACCUAGGCCUUUCCCAUGAGUGCUUCUUAGCAAACUGUUUGCAGGAGAUUGAGGUGGAAGCGAUGGGUUGGCCUUAUUCUGUUGUCUUUUUUAUU